RNAcentral lists this ribosomal RNA (512 nucleotides) under uncultured microorganism. RNAcentral's name for it is "bacterial SSU rRNA". It matches the Rfam family "Bacterial small subunit ribosomal RNA", at positions 9 to 517 of the family's 1533-position model. The record is from RNAcentral.
GAGUUUGAUCGUGGCUCAGGAUGAACGCUAGCGGCAGGCUUAAUACAUGCAAGUCGAGGGGCAUCAGCUUAUAGCAAUAUAGGGCUGGCGACCGGCAAACGGGUGCGGAACACGUACACAACCUUCCUUUAAGAGGGGGAUAGCCCAUAGAAAUGUGGAUUAAUACCCCGUAAGAUAGUGGGAUGGCAUCAUACUACUAUUAUAGUUACGACGCUUGAAGAUGGGUGUGCGUCUGAUUAGGUAGUUGGCGGGGUAAAGGCCCACCAAGCCUUCGAUCAGUAGCUGAUGUGAGAGCAUGAUCAGCCACACGGGCACUGAGACACGGGCCCGACUCCUACGGGAGGCAGCAGUAAGGAUAUUGGUCAAUGGACGCAAGUCUGAACCAGCCAUGCCGCGUGAAGGAUGAAGGUCCUCUGGAUUGUAAACUUCUUUUAUAGGGGGCGAAAAAGGGAAUCUUCUCACUUGACAGUACCCUAUGAAUAAGCACCGGCUAACUCCGUGCCAGCCGCCCG